This 423-nucleotide ribosomal RNA is filed under the name uncultured eukaryote. RNAcentral describes it as "SSU rRNA". It matches the Rfam family "Eukaryotic small subunit ribosomal RNA", at positions 592 to 1018 of the family's 1831-position model. The record is from RNAcentral.
CAAUAGCGUAUAUUAAAGUUGUUGUGGUUAAAAAGCUCGUAGUUGGAUCUCGGCGGUCUGAGGGCGGUUCGCUUCAGAGCGCUACUGCCCUAUAGACCGUAGUUUUGCCAGAGGUCUCAGGGUGCUCUUAACCGAGUGUCUUGCGAUGCUGGCAGGUUUACUUUGAAAAAUUAGAGUGCUCAAAGCAGGCUUUUACGCCUGAAUAUUCGUGCAUGGAAUAAUAGAAUAGGAAGUCGUUUCUAUUUUGUUGGUUUUCGGAAAUCGACUUAAUGAUUAAUAGGGACAGUCGGGGGCAUUUGUAUUCAAACGACAGAGGUGAAAUUCUUGGACCGUUUGAAGACAAACUACUGCGAAAGCAUUUGCCAAGAAUGUUUUCAUUAAUCAAGAACGAAAGUUAGAGGUUCGAAGACGAUCAGAUACCAU